This 69-nucleotide transfer RNA is filed under the name Rhodococcus pyridinivorans. Its description in RNAcentral is "tRNA-Ala". It matches the Rfam family "tRNA". From Rfam's summary of the family: Transfer RNA (tRNA) molecules are approximately 80 nucleotides in length. Their secondary structure includes four short double-helical elements and three loops (D, anti-codon, and T loops). The record is from RNAcentral. Lineage: Bacteria; Bacillati; Actinomycetota; Actinomycetes; Mycobacteriales; Nocardiaceae.
GGGCUUCGCUUUAGCGUCUAAGCUGCCUUUGCAAGGCAGAUGUCAGGAGUUCGAAUCUCCUAGGCUCCA